AACGCGAAGAACCUUACCUAAGCUUGACAUCCUUUUGACCGAUGCCUAAUCGCAUCUUUCCCUUCGGGGACAGAAGUGACAGGUGGUGCAUGGUUGUCGUCAGCUCGUGUCGUGAGAUGUUGGGUUAAGUCCCGCAACGAGCGCAACCCUUGCCUUUAGUUGCCAGCAUUAAGUUGGGCACUCUAGAGGGACUGCCAGGGAUAACCUGGAGGAAGGUGGGGAUGACGUCAAAUCAUCAUGCCCCUUAUGCUUAGGGCUACACACGUGCUAUAAUGGGUGGUACAGAGGGCAGCC
RNAcentral lists this ribosomal RNA (294 nucleotides) under uncultured bacterium. RNAcentral's name for it is "partial 16S rRNA". It matches the Rfam family "Bacterial small subunit ribosomal RNA", at positions 958 to 1251 of the family's 1533-position model. The record is from RNAcentral.